UCUGUACCGUAUGAGUGACAAAUAAUGGCUUCUCCUUCUUCAAUCCAAAUAAGCCGUGUCCAGUCUCAUCUGGAAAGAAGUGGUGUGGGUGCAGGGUUUCAUUCCAACAACAUGGAAUCAACAUGAUCUAUUAAAUAUUAACUGAUAGACCUAACCAGGUAGAACGAGGAGUGACGAAUGCCUGACUGGACUGAAAACCUGCACCCUCACCUCCCCUUUGCAGUCCUUUAGGGAGCUUUGGAGGUGGCCGGAGAUCUGUCUCCCCUUCCAGGCUGUGUUCAUGAGAAAGCGAGUCCCCCAAAGGCAGUGAUAUUUAGCGUUCCUGAUUCAGCAUGGCCCAGGAGCCGACCAUGAUGGAUGAUGGAAGGGACUGAAAAUCCCCAGCUCUGAGACUCAAAAGCUCCACUCAACCAUUCUGUCCUGAGGGAAGUUAAUUCAUUUAAGGCUCUUCAGUGAAGCACACCAGCAGAAGCACUGCUAUCGUGGACUUAGACGUAAGGGAGAAAGAACAGUGUGUGUGGCUGGAGCUAACAGAAGCAUCCUUCUCCUGUACCAUCUGCUCAGAAGCAAGGUGCAUGAAUCCUUUGCUCCAGCUCCAUUAGUCAGCUCGGUGAGGGGAAGCACUGUGCCACUGCUCUGGAGAUUACAGCAAGGAGCAGACUAAUGACCAGCUAACUUCAUUAGCAACAUCAGCAACAAAAUAGGCACUUUCUUUUGAACUAGCAAACCCUAUGAGGUCUUCCACAGCUCCACACUUCACUUGCUCUUGGAAAAGAGGCUAAAAUGCUUGGUAGAUUCUUGAUUCUACAUUAAUACACUGAAUGAUCUGGAAGAGAUUGAUUCCUGACAUUACUCAUGCAUGGUUUCUGUGAGCAGCUGCCUGGUUAUGAGAGCACUGUGUAAGCAAAUGUUAUUACACAAGUUUACUAUUGGGAGAUGGGGAUGUUUACUGUGGUCAUAGAAGAAAAGAUGUACAGUAAGAACAUGGAAAAUGGGCCAGCUGCAAAGGGUUGAGGAAACAUAUCGUCAUUACUGCCAUGAGCAUUGUCUAGGAUUAAAAAGGCAGAACAUUUGAUUGAUGAUCUUCAACUUGGCCUGAAGGCACUGGUGGAUGUGUGGGUGACAAGAAUGCCAGUAGUUAAUACUAGCAGUGAGGGUUUGUAAGCCACGCAGUGUAAGUCAGUGUGCCUUCCCCUUUAACUACCACUACCACCACCACCACCACUACCACCUCCAACACCAUCUCUAAAUUCAUUCCAAAGCUUUCUGUCAUGUAAUCAGUGAGCUAGACCAGCUCUCUCUCUCCUAAAUAAAUAAAACACCUCAUGGUCAAGUCAAGCAAGAAGCUUUUAUUGUCAUUUUAACCAUAUAUAGCUGUUGCAGUACACAGUGAAAGGGACAACGUUUCUCCAGGACCUGGUGCUACAUAUGGUUAUCAUAUGUCUCAUAUGGUGAAUGUGCCAUAUGAUAAAUUAAGUACGAAAAAACCUGAUGUGUGGUGAGCUAAGAUCUGAUGCAAAUCAUUCAGUUUAAUUAUCGUUACCAAGCUGAUAUUAUUUUCA
Molecule: long non-coding RNA, 1562 nt
Organism: Tachysurus fulvidraco (yellow catfish)
Lineage: Eukaryota; Metazoa; Chordata; Actinopteri; Siluriformes; Bagridae
Exons: 3
Source: RefSeq, a predicted model, not a curated record